This is a transfer RNA of 72 nucleotides. It matches the Rfam family "tRNA". Rfam says of the family: Transfer RNA (tRNA) molecules are approximately 80 nucleotides in length. The record is from Rfam.
GGUGGUAUGGUCUAGCGGUAUGACGCUUGCUUAGGGUGCAAGAGGCCUUGGGUUCGAAUCCCAAUACCGCCC